UCCGGUUUGUCACCGGCAGUCUGGCGUGAGUCCCCAACUUAAUGCUGGCAACACGCCACGGGGGUUGCGCUCGUUGCGGGACUUAACCCAACAUCUCACGACACGAGCUGACGACAGCCAUGCAGCACCUGUGGUGCACCCUCGAAGGUCACACGUUUCCGUGCGCUUGCAGCACCAUGUCAAGCCCAGGUAAGGUGGGGAUGACGUUCGUCUGAC
This 216-nucleotide unclassified non-coding RNA is filed under the name uncultured Rubrobacterales bacterium. Its description in RNAcentral is "contains 16S-23S intergenic spacer region". Lineage: Bacteria; Bacillati; Actinomycetota; Rubrobacteria; Rubrobacterales. The record is from RNAcentral.